GACCCGAUGUGGCGCAGUGGUUAGUACGACUGCCUGCGCCGCAGUCAGAAGGUUCCGGGUUCAAUUCCUGGUAGGGUCA
Molecule: non-coding RNA, 79 nt
Organism: Phthorimaea operculella (potato tuberworm)
Lineage: Eukaryota; Metazoa; Arthropoda; Insecta; Lepidoptera; Gelechiidae
Source: the annotation of a GenBank genome assembly